GCCCCAGGUGACUUUUAAAAUGUAGAUAUCAUUGAAAAAACUUCAAAUUAUCUCCCUUUGGUGAAAAAAUGCCUUUUUUGGCAUUAAAAUUGAAAUAUCUUUUUUAACUCAUCUGUGACCUAUAUUUUUUAGUCUUGUUUUCGAAUAAGCUGUAUAUAAACUAAAUAAUUGUAAAAUUUAAGCGAUUUCUGUAAUUAAGUUC
RNAcentral lists this long non-coding RNA (202 nucleotides) under Mytilus galloprovincialis (Mediterranean mussel). The record is from RNAcentral. Lineage: Eukaryota; Metazoa; Mollusca; Bivalvia; Mytilida; Mytilidae.